CCAGCACCUGCGGUAAUUCCAGCUCCAAUAGCGUAUAUUAAUGUUGUUGCGGUUAAAAAGCUCGUAGUUGAAUCUCUGAUCGGGAUGACCUCCUCACCUUAGGGCGAUGGUAGGUGUUGACCUGAUCAUCCUCCUAGAACACGAUGUGUCUUAACCGGGUCAUUCGAGCUAGGACUAUUACUUUUAGGAAAUUAGAGUGUUCCAAGCAGGCAUUUGCCCUGUAUACAUUAGCAUGGAAUAAUAAUAUAGGACUUCGGUUCUAUUUUAUUGGUUCUGGACCGAAGUAAUGAUUAAUAGGGACAGUCGGGGGCAUUCGUACUCAACAGUCAGAGGUGAAAUUCUUGGAUUUGUUGGAUACGAACUACUGCUAAAGCAUUUGCCAAGGAUGUUUUCA
Molecule: ribosomal RNA, 394 nt
Filed under: uncultured eukaryote
Lineage: Eukaryota
Description: SSU rRNA
Rfam family: Eukaryotic small subunit ribosomal RNA
Source: RNAcentral